CUAUACAUGACUCUGCGCAUAUCAAUAAGCGGAGGAAAAGAAACUAACAAGGAUUCCCUUAGUAACGGCGAGUGAAGCGGGAAGAGCUCAAAUUUGAAAUCUUAAAGGGUUUCCCUUUACGAAUUGUAGUUUAAAGAAGUGUUUUCUGUUGAAGUUUUGGUAAAAGUUCUUUGGAAUAGGACAUCAUAGAGGGUGAGAAUCCCGUAUUUGACCUUUACUUUCAACUUUGUGAUACACUUUCAAAGAGUCGGAUUGUUUGGGAAUGCAGUCCAAAAUGGGUGGUAAAUUUCAUCUAAAGCUAAAUAUUGGCGAGAGACCGAUAGCGAACAAGUACCGUGAGGGAAAGAUGAAAAGAACUUUGAAAAGAGAGUUAAACAGUACGUGAAAUUGUCAAAAGGGAAGCGUUUGACACCAGUGUUGUUUUUCUGAAAAUCAAUUAAAGAACUGUUUAUGCUAAGUUGUUUAGACUUUAUCAGCUAACUGUUUAGUUUUGAGCUUUUCUUUAAUGCACUUUUCAGUUAACAAGUCAACAUCAAUUUCUUUUGCUGUAAAAAAGCUUGAGGAAGGUGGCUUGAGAUUCGUCUUAAGUGUUUAUAGCCUCUUGCCUAUGCAGUCGGAGAGAUUGAGGUCUGCAGCGUAGAUCCUUCGGGGCUAAAUGCAUUUGUGCUAAGUUAUAGCAUUUUAUAGACAACUUGUUGACUAUGAUUUGUCUUGUAGCUUACUCGCUUAUGUUAUUUUACCUACGCUUAGGAUGUUGACAGCAGUAUAGACUGU
Molecule: ribosomal RNA, 774 nt
Filed under: uncultured Neocallimastigales
Lineage: Eukaryota; Fungi; Neocallimastigomycota; Neocallimastigomycetes; Neocallimastigales
Description: partial large subunit ribosomal RNA
Rfam family: Eukaryotic large subunit ribosomal RNA
Source: RNAcentral